AACGCACCUUGCGCCCUUUGGCUAUUCUGAAGGGCAUGCCUGUUUGAGUAUCAUGAACAUCUCAACUCUCACGGUUCGCCGUGAUGAGCUUGGACUUUGGGGGUCUUGCCGGCCUGCGGGUUGGCUCCUCUCAAAUUGAUCAGCUUGCCAGUGUUUGGUGGCAUCACGUGUGUGAUAACUAUCUACGCUCGUGGUUCUCCGCCAGGUAACCUUCGGUGACGGAGGUUCGCUGGAGCUCACAAACGUCUCUCCUCAGUGAGGACAGCUUUUUAACGUUUGGUCUCAAAUCAGGUAGGACUACCCGCUGAACUUAA
This 314-nucleotide unclassified non-coding RNA is filed under the name uncultured fungus. Its description in RNAcentral is "partial contains 5.8S ribosomal RNA, internal transcribed spacer 2, and large subunit ribosomal RNA". Lineage: Eukaryota; Fungi. The record is from RNAcentral.